This 5926-nucleotide long non-coding RNA is filed under the name Mytilus galloprovincialis (Mediterranean mussel). The record is from RNAcentral. Lineage: Eukaryota; Metazoa; Mollusca; Bivalvia; Mytilida; Mytilidae.
GUGAACCUUCUGAUGACGACAUCGAACUUUAGAAAGAAGAGCAAUGACAUAGCAAGACAUUACUGAUGAUUACAGUAGCUAAUUAUUAAAUGACAUCGGUGAGCAUAUUUAAAGUUGGAAUUUAUUAGUGUCCAACGUGUUUUUGUAAAAGGUCAGUUUAUUUAUUUGUCUAUUUCUUAAUGGCUUUUAAGAUAUUUUGAAUGCUCACAGCUCUCAUACUGAUUCCAGUGUUUAAUUUCUAUUUGAUGCGUUUGUACUAUAUACAUGUACUAUGGAAAUUAGGUAGUAGGAAUAUGUUGUCUUUGAGAUAAAGUAAACAUAUGUUCUGUAUAUAUAGUUUGUAUCUAAGAGUAUAUCUGUGGAAAAUACAAAAUGUUUGUUUGCAUCUUUUGUUAAAUCCGACGGAAAUAUUCAAUAGGUUUUUAUUGCAUAGAAUAUUCCAUUUGUAUUUUCGACACAUUCAACGCAUCAUCUAAAUGAGCAUCACUUAUCCGUGAUAGGAAAAUAAAAUACAGUAGUAGGCGAACAAUGUGUAUAUAUAUAUAUAUAAACCAGGACAAUGUCAUAACAGUUUUGCGGAUUAUUUGUUAUAUGUUAUUCUGUUUUAAACAUUGAAGAAAUAAAAUAUACCCAUGCAUCCACCCUCUAAUUUUUGAAAGACAUCGGUGAACAUAUUUAAACUUUAAUAUAACUGCCCAUCUUUUUUUUUUAGGAAAAGGUAUGUGUUUAUUCAUUUAUCUAUUAGCUUAUAUUGAUAAAUAAAAAGCUUGUAUUAGAAUUUUACAAUAAAUUUGUAGGUAUUGAUUUUUUUAUUUAUUUCUUUUAGGUCAAUGAUGUUAAUGAAGAUAACACCUCCUGAGCUGGUCAUGGUGUUGUAAGUGUUUAUUAAACAGUAUGUGUAAUGAUAAUAUGAGUAAAGGUAGGCGUCAAAAAAAAAUAAAAACACAUCUUUUAAUAAAAAAGGUGUUUCUCAUUGCCACCUAUAUUUUUUGUUAUAUAAUUCAGAUAGAAAGUUCUAUAAACAAAAAAUAUAAAAAAUAAAUGAAAAAAAUAUUUUGAAGGCAUUUUAUUCUUUGCUUCAAGAAAACAGUAUCAAUAAACUCGUCAUAGAUACCAGAACUAAAAUUUUGUAUAUACGCCAGACGCUCAUUUCGUCUACAAAAGACUCAUCAGUGACGCUCGAAUCAAAAAGUUGAAAAGGUCCAAAUAAAGUACGAAGUUAAAGAGCAUUGAGGACCAAAAUUCCUAGCAAGGUAAUCUAUGCCUGAGGUAGAAAAGCCUUAGUAUUUCAAAAAUUCAAAAUUUUGUAAACAGUUAAUUUAUAAAAAUAACCAUAUCAAUGAUAUAAUUCAUGUCAGCACAAAAGUGCUGACUACUGGGCUGAUGAUACCCUAGGGGAAAUAAAUCUCCACCAGCAGUGGCAUCUAACCGGUGGUUGUAAAUAAACUCAUCAUAGAUACCAGGACUUAAUUUUGUAUAUACGCCAGACGAGCGUUUCGUUUACAGUUCUGUCAAUUCAUUAGACUCGGAUUUAACAAGGCUGUAUUUGUUUAAUAAAUUCGUUUUCAUGAAGUUCCCUCCUUUUUUAUAAUAUAAACAAGUAUUUGUUUGUCCUUAUAUUAGAUGAAUUGUUGAGAUUAAAGAAUAUAUAUGACUCAUAUUUAUUUUAAAAAUAUGUGCACUUUUAAAAAUAGACCACAAAAAACAACUAAAUUUAAAAAAAACUAAUGACCAAUUAAACAAAGAUACUGCUACAGACAAAAAAUACUUCAUUUAAUGUAUAAUGAUACACUAAUGAUUUAUCAAUAAGCCAGUAGAUAAUGUUAGUAUGGUAAUUAGACAUGAACAGCAAUCCAACAAAUAUUAAGCACUCAGCAAUUCAACAAAUAUAUAGCUCUCAGCAAGUGAAAACAAAGUCAAAGACCAAGUUUUAAAUCUGUUAUAACAAGAAAAUGUGGGCUUUUAGAUUUUGUUUUUUUUUUACAUAUGCUAUAAAUCUUGAGAUAAAAUAUUAUAAUUUCUGUUUUAGAUUUAAUACCAGCCGCUGUACAAAACGCACACGAAUUAAGAAAAUAUGAUGAUGCUAUUUGAUUUUUCAAUUAUUUGUAAAAGAGGCACGAAAGAUACCAAAGGGACAGUCAAACUCAUAAAUCUAAAACAAACUGACAACGCCAUGGCUAAAAAUGAGAAAGACAAACAAAAAAACAGCACACAUGACACAAUAUAGAAAACUAAAGAAUAAACAACACGAACCCCACCAAAAAACUAGGGGUGAUUUCAGGUGCUCCGUAAGGGUAAGCAGAUCCUGCUCCACAUGUGGCACCCGUCGUGUUGCUUACGUGAUAACAAAUCCGGUAAAUAGUCUAAUUCGUAGGUCACAUUCAUGAAAGGGAAGGGGAUUGUAGUUACGACUUAAGGAACAUAUCCGAUAUCAUUUGUGAAACGGUUAUUCAAUAACGAUCAACCAACUCGUGAUGGCGUCCGUAAAAUUUACGAAGGGAUGAUUUCAACUUCAUCAUUUGGAACUCUUGGUUUAAUAGCUUCCUUGUGAUAUGCUUUAUAUCUUUAUAUAUAUGUAUUUUUGUCAAUACAUGUAUCAAAUAUUUACUAUAUUAAAAGCAAGUCCAUGAGUGCAAAAACACAUUUAAAGGUGUCCAAUUUUCAAUUAUUCUGUCACAUGUGUGAUUUAUGUCUGAUCAAUGUGAAUGGGCAAUUGGUGUUUAACGCCACUUUCAGCAUUAUGUACUAUUUCGUAGUAGUCGGUUUUUAUUGGUUGAGUGAGAAAAUAAUGCUUGUAGAAAACCAAGAUCCAAGAUAGUAAAACUGACAAACUAAGUCAAUUAUAAAAUAUUGUAGUCAAACUGAAAGGCUAAGUGUGUGCUUCGAAAUUCAUAACCUUUGUGUUGACAGGAUAGUGAUAAGGAAGUUAUUUACUUAAGACCAUUCAUCCACUGAAACCAAUUUCAAUGAAACAGUAUCACAGAAAAACAUGCAGUCUUUAUCUAUAGCACAAGUUAAAUGUAAAAUUGCCGAGUUUCCAUGUCCUUACUUUAGUUUACCUCAACAAAUGUUAUAAAAACGAAUAGGUACAAGAUGCUUAUUACUUCAAAACACAGAACAAGUUUAAAAUUGGGUGGCAUCACUUUACCGUUCAUGACUUAUGUUCCUUUAUAAAUGGAGCAAUUACUUAAUCUGUUGGUUUAAUUCUCUUCCUCUUGUUUGCUUCAACUAAAUGUUUUGAAAUUUAUACACAAUGCUUAUAAUUACAAAUGGGCUUUAAUGAAAUUAAUCCUGCAUCUGUAUGCGGAAAUUGACUGGUGAAUAUUGUUACAGGCAGGGUAUUUGCGGCCCCAAAACACAAUCUCAAUUUAAUUAAACCAUGUUAAUUUACAAGCAUAGUAUAGAAAAACCUCCUGUCUGAAAAAUGCCUUCAAUAUAUUUUUUAAAUCAACUUUGAAUUAAUUUGAACAAUUAACUGAAUUGAAGAAAGCGAGGUGUUAUAUUUUCUUUACAAAUAUAAUGUAAACUAAUCCCCUAUUUGAAAAAAAACCUAUUCUCAAUGCUCAAUUUCUUUCAUUUUUUCCCCAUUUCCAUUUCAAUAAGGAGGUAGUGUUAUAAAAUAAAAAAAAAUAAUCUGAUUAAUCGUGUCAAAAACUAAAUAAAUUUGUUUGUGCUUUGCACCUACAAUACGUUUUACUAAGAAAAAAAACCAAGAAUGUAUAUGCCCUACUUACGAUUUUAUGGGGGUAUUAAGUUUUCUGGUCUGUUUGUCCGUUUAUAAGAUUGUCCGGCUGUCCCUUUUAGUUUCAAGUUUUUGUUCAAGGUAGUUUUUGAUGAAAUUGAAGUCCAAUCAAUUUGAAAUAUACAUGUAGUUCACAUGUUUCCUAUGAUAUGAUCUUUCUAAUUUUAAUGCCAAACUAGAUGUUUAAACCACAUUUCACGGUCCACUGAACAUACAUGUAGAAAAUAAUAGUGUGAGUGAGGCAUAUAUGUACUAAGGACACAUUCUUGUUAGAUUUGUAUUGUUUAGUUGCUUCAUUACUGAUAUGUUAUAUCAUUUAACCCAUCAUUGAUUAUUUUUUCUAUAUUUUUAUAUGGUUAUUGCCUGUCCUUUUUGUGACCUGUAUAUGAGAACACACAGUCAUGCACAUAAAAAACCUCAUAUACAUUUUUGAAAGUCAUUUGAUACAUAUAAAAUUGAGAAUAGAAAUGGGGAAUGUGCAGAAAGAACAACCCACAUUAGAGCAGACAACAGCAGAAGGUCACCAACAGGUCUUCAAUGCAACGAGAAAUUCUCGCACCCGGAGGCGUCCUUCAGCUGGCCCCUAACAAUAUAUGUAUAUGUAUUAUUUCAAUUGAGUUUUUUUAUUUAUUUUUGAAGUAAAAUUGAGAAUUAUCCUUGCCUAGUUGACCAGGCUCUACUGAUAUGAUAGAUAUGCUGAUAUCUAACUUGGAGAUCUUGGGUACGUUGGAAAAUGUAUCAGGUAGGUGGUUAUUCAUACAUAUUAUGAAACAAAUAUGUUAUAGGGAAAACAUUGAAAUUAGCCAUAUGUUGUUGAGACAGCAACCAAACAACAUUGUCAUAUAAUUAAAAUCAAAAACAAUUUGAUAGUAAUAUUUAAAUAAAUAAUUUUAAAUGGCUUUAACAAUUACUAAGUAGAUGUAUUCAUGUCUGCUGUUGAAUUAUGCUAAAAGUAUUGACUAGUUCAUUUGACUGAGAAAAAAGCCUGAUCAAUAUUUCAGGUUUUACAAAACAGACUAGACAAAUUGCCAGAUAGCAAUUAUGGAAAAGAGGGACGAAAGAUACCAAAGGGACAGUCAAACUCAUAAAUCUAAAACAAACUGACAACGCCAUGGCUAAAAAUGAAAAAGACAAACAGAAACAAAUAGUACACAUGACACAAACAUAGAAAACUAAAAGAAUAAACAACACGAACCCACAAAACUAGGGGUGAUCUCAGGUGCUCCGGAAGGUAAGCAGAUCCUGCUCCUCACAUGUGGCACCCGUUGUUGCUUAUGUGAUUACAAAUCCGGUAAAUAGUCUAAUUCGCUAGGUCACAUUCAUGAAAGGGAAGGGGAUUGUAGUUACGACGUCAACCAACUCGUGAUGGCGUCCGUAAAAUUUACGAAGGGAUGAUUUCAACUUCACCAUUUGGAACUCUUGGUUUAAUAGCUUCCUUGUGAGCAGUAACCCUCUAUCAAGAAAAUCAUGAUAGAUAACGCAAGCACGGGAAUAUCGUAUCAAUUGGGAGAUAUAUAUACCCCGUAUGCAGGUGCUGCUGGAAUGUUGCUACUUUAAAAAUGGAAAGUUCACAAUUGGAAAGCUGAAAUCAUCUCUUUUGUCGUAAAAGUUUUGUUUUCAACCGACCCUUCAUUGUCAAUUUUCUAGAUGUAGUCAAGAUAUGAAGCCGACUUAACUGUAUCUGUAGUAUCCUUUAUCUCCAAUUCGAUGGGAUAGAUGCGUUCCACAUAGUCACCAAAUUUUGAAUUGUUUAGUGAAAGAACGUCAUCUAUAUAGCGGAAAGUAGAGUUAAAGGAUAUUGUUAACUUCUUAUCUUUCUUCCUAAGAAGUUCCUGUAUGAAGUCAGCCUCAUAAUAAUAAAAGAAACAAGUCGGCAAGUAGAGGGGCACAGUUUGUUCCCAUUGGGAUGCCGACAGUCUGUUGAAAACACGUCCUCCGAACAGUCACAGUUGAAAAAAACAUAAAAUCUAUGAAAACAGCUAAUAACUACUCAUAAUUUUUUUUAAUCCAUUUGCUAUUUGUUGUCUUGAUUUUAAACUACCAGUAAGCUUUAAAUAUUUAAAUAUAGAAACAAUCGAACUGCACAAACUAAUUUCAACAUUUUUAUUUUUGGUAUUUUGUGUUUUUUUUUCAGAUGUAAAACAUGUAGAAGUAGAAGAAACAACAGUGAAAAAAGAAUGAGAC